Molecule: long non-coding RNA, 727 nt
Filed under: Triticum aestivum (bread wheat)
Lineage: Eukaryota; Viridiplantae; Streptophyta; Magnoliopsida; Poales; Poaceae
Description: long non-coding RNA (TAES_LNC026988)
Source: RNAcentral
UGAUGUUGUUUUAAUAGUUGAACUUGUGUAAUCUCCUUUUUUUACUAACAUUCAUAUGCUUGUUUUGUUUUCUAUAUUCAUUGUUUGUAGUGGUAUGUGUUUUUGUACUGCAUGUGACCUACUAGUCGUACUUGCAAUGAUUUAAUUGUGUUUUGGGAUGGUAUUUGCGGCCAGGUGAGGCUGAUUAUUGUUUGCAUCAAUUGAGGGGGUGGUACUGAUGUUGUUUUAAUAGUUGACCUUGUGCAAUCUUUUUUUUCUUUUUACUUGCAUUCAUUUGCUUGUUUUGUUUUCUAUAUUCAUUUUUUAAGGUGUGGCUUUUUUGUUUUCAUUUACAGCCUGUUAGCGUUAGGAGUCCGGUUAAGCCGGUGGGAGGCAAUACUGGAAAAGUUGCCUUGGAUGAAGGUGACCAACGGAAAUUGAACUUAACUGUGCGAUGUUCGUUGAGAGAGGUUGAAGAUUGCACUAAAUUGCUCGAGAGUCGGCAUGUGGCUAGGGUUCAUGCAUCUGGUUUUGGUUCUAUUUUCAAGUGGAGGGUGAAGUCUAACAUUUCCCGCCCUCUGAUGGGAGUUUUGUACCUGAGGAUAGAUUGUGAUACAAUGACUCUUGACAUGGGUGAGGCUAAUAAGAAGCUUCGGAUCACUAGCGACGGUAUACAGCAAUUAUUUGGUUUCCCUCGUGGUGGUCGUUCUGCGCCAUGGCCGUUAGAGGACGGAUAUGACGACGCUCU